CCAUCGGUGGUUCAGUGGUAGAAUGCUCGCCUGCCACGCUGGCGGCCCGGGUUCGAUUCCCGUCCGAUGCA
Molecule: transfer RNA, 71 nt
Filed under: Cordylochernes scorpioides
Lineage: Eukaryota; Metazoa; Arthropoda; Arachnida; Pseudoscorpiones; Chernetidae
Description: tRNA-Gly
Rfam family: tRNA
About the family: Transfer RNA (tRNA) molecules are approximately 80 nucleotides in length. Their secondary structure includes four short double-helical elements and three loops (D, anti-codon, and T loops). Further hydrogen bonds mediate the characteristic L-shaped molecular structure. tRNAs have two regions of fundamental functional importance: the anti-codon, which is responsible for specific mRNA codon recognition, and the 3' end, to which the tRNAs corresponding amino acid is attached (by aminoacyl-tRNA synthetases). tRNAs cope with the degeneracy of the genetic code in two manners: having more than one tRNA (with a specific anti-codon) for a particular amino acid; and 'wobble' base-pairing, i.e. permitting non-standard base-pairing at the 3rd anti-codon position.
Source: RNAcentral